This 515-nucleotide ribosomal RNA is filed under the name uncultured bacterium. RNAcentral's name for it is "partial 16S ribosomal RNA". It matches the Rfam family "Bacterial small subunit ribosomal RNA", at positions 28 to 523 of the family's 1533-position model. The record is from RNAcentral.
GAUGAACGCUGGCGGCGUGCCUAAUACAUGCAAGUCGAGCGAAUGGAUUAAGAGCUUGCUCUUAUGAAGUUAGCGGCGGACGGGUGAGUAACACGUGGGUAACCUGCCCAUAAGACUGGGAUAACUCCGGGAAACCGGGGCUAAUACCGGAUAACAUUUUGAACCGCAUGGUUCGAAAUUGAAAGGCGGCUUCGGCUGUCACUUAUGGAUGGACCCGCGUCGCAUUAGCUAGUUGGUGAGGUAACGGCUCACCAAGGCAACGAUGCGUAGCCGACCUGAGAGGGUGGUCGGCCACACUGGGACUGAGACACGGCCCAGACUCCUACGGGAAGCAGCAGUAGGGGAUCUUCCGCAAUGGGCGAAAGUCUGACGGAGCAAAGCCGCGUGAGUGAUGAAGGCUUUCGGGUCGUAAAACUCUGUUGUUAGGGAAGAACAAGUGCUAGUUGAAUAAGCUGGCACCUUGACGGUACCUAACCAGAAAGCCACGGCUAACUACGUGCCAGCCGCCGCCGUAA